Long non-coding RNA from Pezoporus flaviventris, 358 nucleotides. RefSeq lists it as uncharacterized. The transcript has 3 exons. The record is from RefSeq and is a predicted model, not a curated record. NCBI's taxonomy places the organism in Eukaryota, Metazoa, Chordata, Aves, Psittaciformes, Psittacidae.
CAGAGGGACAGGCUGCUUCCCACCAGCCUCUAACAUCUUCAACAUCUUCCAACAUCUCAUGGGCAUGAGGACAUCUGCCACACCUGCUGUUGUGGGAAAGCCAGAAUUCCUUUAAGUCCACCAGGAACAAGAAAUUACAUGCUGAAGGUCAGAGACACAACUUUCUGCAGCCAUAAGAGUAAGAAUAGUUGCUGCUGUUUACACCGUAUUUUGCUGGCCUGCUUGAGUCAGAUCCUACUCCAGAAAUGUUAGCCCGCUUUGGUUUAAUGAAUGAUAAAGAAAGGCUGGUCAGGGCCUGCCAGAAUCUUCAUGACUUAGUGUACAUCUAUGUCUCUUGCAUCAACACAAUCUUCCGACU